GUGCUCAGUUCGGCAGUACAUAUGCGCAAAUCAGAAUGAUAAGAAGAUGAUAGCAUGGCCCCUGCACAAGGACGACAUACAAAUUUGUGAACCAUUUCUUAUCUUU
Molecule: small nuclear RNA, 106 nt
Organism: Prolemur simus (greater bamboo lemur)
Lineage: Eukaryota; Metazoa; Chordata; Mammalia; Primates; Lemuridae
Source: Ensembl